AUACUUGGUGUGAAUUGCAGAAUCCCGUGAACCAUCGAGUCUUUGAACGCAAGUUGCGCCCCAAGCCAUUAGGCCGAGGGCACGUCUGCCUGGGUGUCA
Non-coding RNA from Corchorus olitorius, 99 nucleotides. The record is from Rfam. NCBI's taxonomy places the organism in Eukaryota, Viridiplantae, Streptophyta, Magnoliopsida, Malvales, Malvaceae.